Molecule: microRNA, 22 nt
Filed under: Ophiophagus hannah (king cobra)
Lineage: Eukaryota; Metazoa; Chordata; Lepidosauria; Squamata; Elapidae
Also listed under: 2 other names
Description: oha-miR-223-3p
Gene: oha-miR-223-3p
Source: miRBase by way of RNAcentral
UGUCAGUUUGUCAAAUAUACAA